UUUCCGUAGGUGAACCUGCGGAAGGAUCACUAUCAUGUAAUUCAGUCCCCUUGGCUGUGUUAUAUAUAUACCCACUCUGUGUACCUUCUCCUGUUGCUUCCGCUGGGUGUGUAAUUCGCCCGGCGGAAGGGUAAAAAUAACCUCUGAGUAUUGAUGAAAUCUCUGUCAGAACCGAAUAGAAAGAAAAAUGUUAAAACUUUCAGCAACGGAUCUCUUGGUUCUCGCAUCGAUGAAGAACACAGC
Molecule: unclassified non-coding RNA, 243 nt
Filed under: plant metagenome
Description: partial contains small subunit ribosomal RNA, internal transcribed spacer 1, and 5.8S ribosomal RNA
Rfam family: 5.8S ribosomal RNA (bases 195-243)
Source: RNAcentral